Molecule: ribosomal RNA, 1965 nt
Filed under: Margattea spinifera
Lineage: Eukaryota; Metazoa; Arthropoda; Insecta; Blattodea; Pseudophyllodromiidae
Description: SSU rRNA
Source: RNAcentral
CAUAUGCUCGUCUCAAAGAUUAAGCCAUGCAAGUGUAAGUACGAGCUUGAUGAAAAAGUGAAACCGCGAAUGUCUCAUUAAAUCAGUCAUGGUUCAUUGGACGAUGAACGGUUACUUGGAUAACUGUGGCAAUUCUAGAGCUAAUACAUGCAAACAAGUCCCGACCGGAGACGGAAAGGACGCACUUAUUAGAUCAAAGCCUAGCGGGUGGAGGGUCUCCGAGUGUCCCAGCGGCACUCGCCCCUCUCCCGCUCGAGUUCUUGGUGACUCUGAAUAAUUGUCUGAUCGCACGGCCUCCGAGCCGGCGACGUGUCUUUCAAAUGUCUGACUCAUCAACUGUCGAUGGUAGGUUCUGCGCCUACCAUGGURGUAACGGGUGACGGGGAAUCAGGGUUCGAUUCCGGAGAGGGAGCCUGAGAAACGGCUACCACAUCCAAGGAAGGCAGCAGGCGCGCAAAUUACCCACUCCCGGCACGGGGAGGUAGUGACGAAAAAUAACGAUACGGGACUCAUCCGAGGCCCCGUAAUCGGAAUGAGGACACUUUAAAUCCUUUAUCGAGUAUCCAUUGGAGGGCAAGUCUGGUGCCAGCAGCUGCGGUAAUUCCAGCUCCAAUAGCGUAUAUUAAAGUUGUUGCGGUUAAAAAGCUCGUAGUCGGACUUGUGUCCCGCCGUGUCGGUACACCGCACGUCGGUGUCUAACUGGCAUGCAGGCGAGGACGUCCUGACGGUGGUCGCGCCCGCCCGGUCCUCGCUGGCCCCGAUUCUCCCAACCCUUCGGCCGGGUCGCUGAGCGUUCACGCUCGCCCCGUGCGCGCAAGGGCGGAGUUUUCGGCAAAGCGUGGUCUCCGGAGCGGCCGGCCUGGUCUCCGCAUCCUCUCGAGGUGCUCUUGACCGAGUGUCUAGAGGGGCCGUCACGUUUACUUUGAACAAAUUAGAGUGCUCAAAGCAGGCAUACAACACGCCUGGAUACCAGUGCAUGGAAUAAUGGAAAAGGACCUCGGUUCUAUUUUGUUGGUUGUCUGAAUCUCCGAGGAAAUGAUCAAUAGGAACAGACGGGGGCAAACGUACUGCGACGUUAGAGGUGAAAUUCUUGGAUCGUCGCAAGACGCACAGAAGCGAAAGCAUUUGCCAAGUAUGUUUUCUAUGAUCAAGAGCUAAAGUCAGAGGUUCGAAGGCGAUCAGAUACCGCCCUAGUUCUGACCAUAAACGAUGCCAGCCAGCAAUCCGCCGAAGUUCCUCCGAUGACUCGGCGGGCGGCUUCCGGGAAACCAAAGCUUACGGGUUCCGGGGGAAGUAUGGUUGCAAAGCUGAAACUUAAAGGAAUUGACGGAAGGGCACCACCAGGAGUGGAGCCUGCGGCUUAAUUUGACUCAACACGGGAAAACUUACCAAGCCCGGACACCGGAAUGAUUGACAGAUUGAGAGCUCUUUCUUGAUUCGGUGGGUGGUGGUGCAUGGCCGUUCUUAGUUCGUGGGACGACUUGUCUGGUUAAUUCCGUUAACGAACGAGACUCUAACCUGCUAACUAGUCGAUGACUGGCAUCCUUCGCGCUGCCGGCGAGGAUGAAAUCUUCUUAGAGGGACAAGCGGCGUCCAGCCGCGCUACAAAGAGCAAUAACAGGUCUGUGAUGCCCUUAGAUGUCUUGGGCUGCACGCGCGCUACACUGAAGGAACCAGCGUGUCUUCCCUGGCCGAAAGGUCCGGGCAACCCGUUGAACCUCCUUCGUGAUAGGGAUUGGGGCUUGCAAUUGUUCCCCAUGAACGAGGAAUUCCCAGUAAGCGCGAGUCAUAAGCUCGCGUCGAUUAAGUCCCUGCCCUUUGUGCACACCGCCCGUCGCUACUACCGAUCGAACGGUUUAGUGAGGCCUUCGGACCGGCGAGCGCUGGCGUGCCUUCGGGCGCGUCGCUACUCGGAGGAAAGAUGGCCGAACUUGCCCGUUUAGAGGAAGUAAGAGUCGUAACAAG